AACAAGGCGUACCUGCGGACCUGCGGAGGGAUCAUUACCGAGUUUACAACUCCCAAACCCCUGUGAACAUACCACUUGUUGCCUCGGCGGAUCAGCCCGCUCCCGGUAAAACGGGACGGCCCGCCAGAGGACCCCUAAACUCUGUUUCUAUAUGUAACUUCUGAGUAAAACCAUAAAUAAAUCAAAACUUUUAACAAUGGAUCU
This 204-nucleotide unclassified non-coding RNA is filed under the name soil metagenome. RNAcentral describes it as "partial contains 5.8S ribosomal RNA, internal transcribed spacer 2, and large subunit ribosomal RNA". The record is from RNAcentral.